Ictidomys tridecemlineatus (thirteen-lined ground squirrel) is the source of this 79-nucleotide non-coding RNA. Lineage: Eukaryota; Metazoa; Chordata; Mammalia; Rodentia; Sciuridae. The record is from Rfam.
GGGGGCAUAGCUCAGUGGUCAGUGGUAGAGCACAUGGUUAGCAUGCAUGAUGCCCUAGGUUUGAUCCCUACCCCCCCCA